RNAcentral lists this ribosomal RNA (497 nucleotides) under uncultured bacterium. Its description in RNAcentral is "partial 16S ribosomal RNA". It matches the Rfam family "Bacterial small subunit ribosomal RNA", at positions 28 to 507 of the family's 1533-position model. The record is from RNAcentral.
GAUGAACGCUGGCGGCGUGCCUAAUACAUGCAAGUCGAGCGAACAGACGAGGAGCUUGCUCCUCUGACGUUAGCGGCGGACGGGUGAGUAACACGUGGAUAACCUACCUAUAAGACUGGGAUAACUUCGGGAAACCGGAGCUAAUACCGGAUAAUAUAUUGAACCACAUGGUUCAAUAGUGAAGGACGGUUUUGCUGUCACUUAUAGAUGGAUCCGCGCCGCAUUAGCUAGUUGGUAAGGUAACGGCUUACAAAGGCAACGAUGCGUAGCCGACCUGAGAGGGUGAUCGGCCACACUGGAACUGAGACACGGUCCAGACUCCUACGGGAGGCAGCAGUAGGGAAUCUUCCGCAAUGGGCGAAAGCCUGACGGAGCAACGCCGCGUGAGUGAUGAAGGUCUUCGGAUCGUAAAACUCUGUUAUUAGGGAAGAACAAAUGUGUAAGUAACUAUGCACGUCUUGACGGUACCUAAUCAGAAAGCCACGGCUAACUACGUG